UUUUUCGGAGAGUUUGAUCCUGGCUCAGGACGAACGCUGGCGGCGUGCCUAAUACAUGCAAGUCGAGCGGACAGAAGGGAGCUUGCUCCCGGAUGUUAGCGGCGGACGGGUGAGUAACACGUGGGUAACCUGCCUGUAAGACUGGGAUAACUCCGGGAAACCGGAGCUAAUACCGGAUAGUUCCUUGAACCGCAUGGUUCAAGGAUGAAAGACGGUUUCGGCUGUCACUUACAGAUGGACCCGCGGCGCAUUAGCUAGUUGGUGAGGUAACGGCUCACCAAGGCGACGAUGCGU
RNAcentral lists this ribosomal RNA (294 nucleotides) under Bacillus altitudinis. Its description in RNAcentral is "partial 16S ribosomal RNA". It matches the Rfam family "Bacterial small subunit ribosomal RNA", at positions 1 to 284 of the family's 1533-position model. Lineage: Bacteria; Bacillati; Bacillota; Bacilli; Caryophanales; Bacillaceae. The record is from RNAcentral.